Frankliniella occidentalis (western flower thrips) is the source of this 2588-nucleotide long non-coding RNA. RefSeq lists it as uncharacterized. Lineage: Eukaryota; Metazoa; Arthropoda; Insecta; Thysanoptera; Thripidae. The record is from RefSeq and is a predicted model, not a curated record. The transcript is spliced from 2 exons.
CUUCGUCGAUUCCCAGCAAUGAUUUUUUGCAGUAUGGCAAAUUCUUCUGCCCCAUAAGUAAAGACCAUCUUCGCCCCCGACAUAGCAAUUAGGUCAACCAUCUGAUCCUGGACAAUAUUCCAAAAUUCAAAGCCAAGAUUUUUAUUGUCUCUUUUGGGGAAAAUGUGGAAAACCAAUGGAUAUCGCAACUCCCACGAGCUACACGACAUUGCCACUUCUAAGACAUUAUUUUCGCGUAUGUAAAAGGUGAUUGCCAUCACUUGCGGUGGUGGGUCGUAGAGACUAAGCUUUUGAAAGGCCAGCACUAAUUCAUCCAUUUAAAAUGAAACAAACACGUUGCGAUACUUGUCAAUGUCAAUAGAGCUACCCUCCCACAAACAGUAGAAAAUAAAGGUGACGGCUGUAGGUAGAGGCGUUGCGAAACUGGGAGAAGGCGCUCAGUGGGUGCUGAGGGCUGGCAGAUCGCCGCCGACUGCGACCAGCCGCCGGUUGUGCUGGGGCUGACGACGGUGUAGUGGUGGUGGUGGUAGUCGUGGAGACCACCGGCACGGAGAGUUGGAAGUUCUCAAUCUCCUUCUUAAUCCCGGCCGAUUCAACCAGGAUCCCGGUCACCUCGUGUUUGAUUUGCUCAGAGGCUGAGGGGACCUGCAGUAGGGCCUUGAGGUUGUUCUCCAGACCGAGAAGGUGGGUGACAUACCCAUCGACGCGUUUCAUCGGCAGCAGCAGCACCCAUUCACUGAUGGAGAGGAAGAAGUCCCCCUCCUUCACGAAGAUGGCGCCGCUGUUCAGCUGGCCCGCUGCCUCGAUGGAUGCCUUGGUGUACACCUCGUUGUGGCCCAUGAUAUGGGGUGGGCCACGCCUCGCCGCCAGGGCGAGCUGCACCGUACAGCCCAACAGGAGAAGCGCCCAAAACGAAGCCAUGUCAGCCUGUGGAAGGAAGACAAAUUAGUCCUUCCGAUAUCGGCGAAAGUACCACCGCACAUCAUUGGAUAGGCUGUCAAAGGACCAAUAUGUGCGGCAGGAGGGCGUAUACCCCGGCAGGGAGAGAGUAUAAGUGUCCGUCCGUAAACGUAAAAUUAAAGUGUCUGGCGCCCGCGCAGUCCUGCAGAUGUGUGAUAAGAAACGAUGGAGCCGGCGCUCUGCGCGGCGUCCGUUGCGUCCGAGUAUCGUUUCUGUCCGUGGCUGCAGGGGAGCCCAAGAGCCCCCGCAGUCCCGAAUGUCGAGGGUCAACCAUUGCGUCGAGUAAUUGUAAGUUAUGUGCGGCGUCGAGUCACGAUGGCACGCCCAUGCGUGCUCAAAUACCGCCGCUAGGCCCGGGUGGCAGUAUAGGGAGGCCCAAGCAGCAGGAGGGGCAUGGGCCUGCACCAACAGGUGACAGACGCGAAUCGCCGCUAUCUCCUGCAACGGCGGUACCAUUCCGACGGGUCCUAGUACAGCCGGAACUUGCGCCAGUCCCGCCGCAGGUGCGAAGUUGCACCGUAGCAGUCCUUCCGAAGGUGUGUAGCGGAGAAGCAGAAGUAACAACGGCGGACCGGAUAAUUAUAGUCCACGCGAUGGUCACUGGGGCGGCAGGGCGCCUCCAGCUCCUGACGAUCGGCCUCGGCGAGGGAAUCGUCGGUGCUAUCCGGGUCGGUGCUGUCCCUGCGGGGUGUAUCCGGGGUCCACCAUGUAAUUCAUCGCAUUUCUAGUUACACCUAUUUCACCGCAACAAGUAAGCAACACUUCGACUUUCCCCGCUGUUUUCUCUAGUUGUUUUUCUAUGCAUAGCCGACCCUCCGUCGGCCCUCCUCCGUGCCCCGUGCCCGGGGUAUCCCAACCGCAUGGCCAAGGAGUAUACUACUGUAUGCGGAAAGUGUAUCGGCAGAAAGAGACUCAGUCUGCGCGGGGUAUUCCCGCCGUGAGCGAGCGCCCACGUGGCCGCACCCCGACCGCGGGGGAAUAGUUCCCCCCCCUCCCCCCCACACACGCACACACACUGGUCGGCCCGGCCCACCUUCAAAUUUCUAGAGGACCGAACGUGGUUAUGUUAAUCCGACUGAAAACUAUGCAACAAUGUAAUAAAAAACAAAAUUUAACGUCGGCCAAAUUUUGUUCCUUAUUGCAUUGUUGCAUUGUUUUUUGAACGACUUGCCCCGAGCUUGUACUCAUGCCAUCAUCGUGUAUUAGAUGUUUUUUAGCAGAUGAUACAUUAUACACAACUGAAAUUAAUAGUACUUUACUUAACUAUGUAUCAUUGCUUGUUUACUUUGUUAUUCUUUUUAGGGGGCCGGGCUGGGCCUUUUUCUGUACGAGUAAAAGAUGCGCCAGAAGAAUCUGCAACAAUCCUGGAAGAACUCCACGAAGCCGAACGAACGUGAACACUUGUGGUGAAGAUCUGCUGUGAAGACCUGCGGUCUUGUGGUGUUGAUUAUCUGCCGUAGCGCGUACGAAAGAUACCCAGGAAGCAGCAUUUGGCCCCUCUAGUUGGCAUGAAAAUCUCUUCUUCUCGUCACUUAUUUGCACACAAGGACUUCAAAGAAUAAGUCAGUUAUAUCGGAGACUAUGACAAGACAGUAAGUUGAUGUCAAAUAAAAGUCGUGUGAAAGUAA